GAUGAACGCUGGCGGCGUGCCUAAUACAUGCAAGUCGAGCGAACGGACGAGAAGCUUGCUUUUCUGAUGUUAGCGGCGGACGGGUGAGUAACACGUGGAUAACCUACCUAUAAGACUGGGAUAACUUCGGGAAACCGGAGCUAAUACCGGAUAAUAUUUUGAACCGCAUGGUUCAAUAGUGAAAGACGGUCUUGCUGUCACUUAUAGAUGGAUCCGCGCUGCAUUAGCUAGUUGGUAAGGUAACGGCUUACCAAGGCAACGAUGCAUAGCCGACCUGAGAGGGUGAUCGGCCACACUGGAACUGAGACACGGUCCAGACUCCUACGGGAGGCAGCAGUAGGGAAUCUUCCGCAAUGGGCGAAAGCCUGACGGAGCAACGACGCGUGAGUGAUGAAGGUCUUCGGAUCGUAAAACUCUGUUAUUAGGGAAGAACAUAUGUGUAAGUAACUGUGCACAUCUUGACGGUACCUAAUCAGAAAGCCACGGCUAACUACGUG
RNAcentral lists this ribosomal RNA (497 nucleotides) under uncultured bacterium. Its description in RNAcentral is "partial 16S ribosomal RNA". It matches the Rfam family "Bacterial small subunit ribosomal RNA", at positions 28 to 507 of the family's 1533-position model. The record is from RNAcentral.